UACGUAGGGUGCAAGCGUUAAUCGGAAUUACUGGGCGUAAAGCGUGCGCAGGCGGUUUUGUAAGUUUGUCGUGAAAUCCCCGGGCUCAACCUGGGAAUGGCGAUGAAGACUGCAAGGCUAGAAUCUGGCAGAGGGGGGUAGAAUUCCACGUGUGAGCAGUGAAAUGCGUAGAGAUGUGGAGGAACACCGAUGGCGAAGGCAGCCCCCUGGGUCAAGAUUGACGCUCAUGCACGAAAGCGUGGGGAGCAAACAGG
Molecule: ribosomal RNA, 254 nt
Filed under: uncultured bacterium
Lineage: Bacteria
Description: partial 16S ribosomal RNA
Rfam family: Bacterial small subunit ribosomal RNA
Source: RNAcentral